CUGAGUAACAAUAUCUGUCUCCCUUUUGCCAACUUUCUGCCCAGAUCUUUAAGAUAGAGCGAGAGGGAGAGAGCCAACGCUACAAGCCCUUCAGGCAGCUUCACAACCGGAGACUGCUGUGGCACGGGUCCAGGACCACCAACUUCGCAGGCAUCCUGUCACAGGGUCUGCGGAUAGCCCCACCUGAAGCACCUGUGACAGGCUACAUGUUUGGGAAAGGAAUCUACUUUGCUGAUAUGGUGUCCAAAAGUGCGAACUACUGCCACACGUCUCAGGGAGACCCGAUUGGCUUAAUACUGUUGGGAGAAGUUGCCCUUGGAAACAUGUGAGUGUCCGGACUCUGAGCAGGGUGGGUAGAGUAGACUAGAAGGAGAAUCUUUUUGACUUGUAAGUGCAGUAGACAGCAGCUCGGG
RNAcentral lists this long non-coding RNA (413 nucleotides) under Rattus norvegicus (Norway rat). RNAcentral describes it as "long non-coding RNA NONRATT008514". The record is from RNAcentral. Lineage: Eukaryota; Metazoa; Chordata; Mammalia; Rodentia; Muridae.